GGCGGACGGGUGAGUAACGCGUAAGGAACUUGCCUCUUGGUCUGGGACAACUGUUGGAAACGACAGCUAAUACCAGAUAUUAUGAGAUUCUCGCAUGAGAAACUUAUGAAAGCUAUAUGCGCCAAGAGAGAGCCUUGCGUUCCAUUAGCUAGUUGGUGGGGUAACGGCCCACCAAGGCGACGAUGGAUAGCCGGCCUGAGAGGGUGAACGGCCACAAGGGGACUGAGACACGGCCCUUACUCCUACGGGAGGCAGCAGUGGGGAAUAUUGGACAAUGGGCCACAAGCCUGAUCCAGCAAUUCUGUGUGCACGAUGAAGGUCUUCGGAUUGUAAAGUGCUUUCAGUUGGGAAGAAGAAAGUGACGGUACCAACAGAAGAAGCGACGGCUAAAUACGUGCCAGCAGCCGCGGUAAUACGUAUGUCGCAAGCGUUAUCCGGAUUUAUUGGGCGUAAAGCGCGUCUAGGCGGAAAAAUAAGUCUGAUGUUAAAAUGCGGGGCUCAACUCCGUAUUGCGUUGGAAACUGUUUUUCUAGAGUACUGGAGAGGUGGGCGGA
RNAcentral lists this ribosomal RNA (554 nucleotides) under uncultured bacterium. RNAcentral's name for it is "bacterial SSU rRNA". It matches the Rfam family "Bacterial small subunit ribosomal RNA", at positions 97 to 665 of the family's 1533-position model. The record is from RNAcentral.